UCAAACUUGGUCAUUUAGAGGAAGUAAAAGUCGUAACAAGGUUUCCGUAGGUGAACCUGCGGAAGGAUCAUUAAAGAACUAUGUGUCGGCAUAAAAAAGUCGAACCUAUUCUUUUGUGAAAAUACUGAUAUAAUUUUGUAUUUGGGGAUUAAAAAGGUUUUAGCUUUUGCUAGAACGGCCCCAAAUCAAACUUUAAUAACCACUUAUUCUUAUUGACUGACUGUUAUUUCAAUAUAAUAAUUGAUAAAAUAACUUUCAACAACGGAUCUCUUGGUUCUCGCAUCGAUGAAGAACGCAGC
Molecule: unclassified non-coding RNA, 299 nt
Filed under: uncultured fungus
Lineage: Eukaryota; Fungi
Description: partial contains small subunit ribosomal RNA, internal transcribed spacer 1, and 5.8S ribosomal RNA
Rfam family: Eukaryotic small subunit ribosomal RNA (bases 1-73)
Source: RNAcentral